UGCCAGCAGCCGCGGUAAUACGUAGGGGGCAAGCGUUAUCCGGAAUCACUGGGCGUAAAGGGUGCGUAGGUGGUUCAACAAGUCAGAAGUGAAAGGCAUUGGCUCAACCAAUGUAAGCUUUUGAAACUGUUGAACUUGAGUGCAGGAGAGGUAAGUGGAAUUCCUAGUGUAGAGGUGAAAUUCGUAGAUAUUAGGAGGAACACCAGUGGCGAAGGCGACUUACUGGACUGUAACUGACACUGAGGCACGAAAGCGUGGGGAGCGAACAGGAUUAGAUA
This 278-nucleotide ribosomal RNA is filed under the name uncultured bacterium. RNAcentral describes it as "partial 16S ribosomal RNA". It matches the Rfam family "Bacterial small subunit ribosomal RNA", at positions 506 to 784 of the family's 1533-position model. The record is from RNAcentral.